Xyrichtys novacula (pearly razorfish) is the source of this 2616-nucleotide non-coding RNA. NCBI's taxonomy places the organism in Eukaryota, Metazoa, Chordata, Actinopteri, Labriformes, Labridae. The record is from the annotation of a GenBank genome assembly.
UGUGAUGGACCGUAACUUUAUUUUACCCCGGAACAUCCCUUUAAAGGAAAAUAAAAUAAAAUUACCAGUUGAAAUGUGUUUUUAAAUUCUGGAGCACACAGAGCAGCAACCUCAGGAGGUUAAAUGUGCACUCUCGUUGUGCAAAUAACACAUCUAGAACAACAAAUAAGAUGAUUCUUCAGUGCACUAGUCAUAGCUGAAUGCUUCCUCUCCUUUCCUUUCCCACCUUGUCAUUGCUCUCUCCUUGUUUUCUCCUCGUUCAUCUUCUCGUCCCAUUAAUUGUUAUCACCUGUCAUUACAAUGCAAAGCUUAGACAUCAACUCUGGCAGCCCAGACAAAGACAGCCUCUCUUUUCUGCUCUCCAUCCUUCUUCUUCACACUCCAUUCUCCAUCACCUUCUCCCUCUGGUCUUCUUCACCUUGUCUUCUGCCCUGCCUCAGUCAUAACUCUUUCUUUUCCAGCCCCUCACUCCUCAUCAGUGUUUGGAGUCACAUUUCUGUUUAGAUAAGAUACAAAUCCUUGAGGCUGAGUGCAAGAAAGUGGAGAAAAUAAAAGAUUAAAGCUCUGAUUUUAGCUCUUGACUGCAACAGUCUUCUACUUUUGGAAAAACAGAGCUACAUAUCCUGAGAAGUGAUCUCAGCUUUAGGUCUGUUGAGCUGGACAUCAUAUAUUCACAUAAUAACUGCUCUGUUUACGCCAUAUAUGUACAUGAUUUAAAUAUAAGCUUGCAUUCCAGGCUAGUAUUGUGAAAGACUCUAGAAAGUAUUAGUUCUCUUAAUAAACAUAUAAAAGGUCAAAAUGUAUGGGAUAAGCUUAUGAAAUGCAAGCUACAAUUCACAGUUUACCUGUGUAAAUAUCCAAGACAGCACAGCAUUUAUCUGAGAGACUGAACGGUGUUUGAUGAGUAGCCUGAGUCUGACAUCCAUCAGCUUUGGCAGCACCUCCCAAACUCUUCAUUCAGAGUCAGCAAUUGCUUAUUCAGCAACAACACAACACUCCCCUUAAUGGUUUUGUUUCCUGUCAAAUACUCAAUAAGCAACAAGUGAAUUUCUCUGCCCUCUCUUACAAAGGGGCUGAGUAUACAUCUUGCAAAGGUUAAGGCUCUUGAUGAGCUCCCCAUAUCAGCUGGGUGUGAAUGAGGAUUUUCUGCAGCCAGCCAGACCUGCAACAAGUUUUCAAAAAAGAGCCUGUUCUCACUUUUGUGGACCUAAACUAACCCCCUGUGGACACAUUUAAUUGGAUAUCGUUGUCUCCAACAGGAACUAUAAUACACCUGCUGUUCUUCAGAUUAUAAAUGCAGAAUGACUUAUUAUGUAUAUGUUUAGUUAAUGUGUGUUCUGUCAGGACAUGGGAGUAUGCUGAGUGAAGUUUUAGCAGAGCAGAACCUAUUAAUUUCUGGGCUAUGUUGUGGUCUUAUAUAAGGUUAUUAUAAACUUGCUUCCCUGUUUAAUAUUUAGUUUUAUCAUUGUCAUUAUUAAAAAGAAAAUAGCACUAAACUUUUCACUCUGUAACUCAGUCCCAUGACUUAUUUUGACUGUGUGUCCUCAGAGUGCACCUAGAAAUGGACAAAAAUGUUUCAGGUCUUGAGGGAUUUGGGUCUAAGGGAACUUGACUGUCUUUGACUUUGUUGAAACAUGCAGCAGCUAAUCUCAGUCAGGACACUCUGUAAAAAAUGAUAGUUUCAAUCAUGUUUCCCGGUAAAAUUCAUUUAUUCAUAAUGAAAAUAGUUUAGCCUCUCAGAAAUCUUUCUCCCACUUCCAGUUAAAACUUUUUAAAUAAACAUGUUUCUGUUCCCUAACAUCUGACCCCUUUCUAUCAGGACAUGGAUAAGAAGAAGAAGAAGAAACAAACAUUCAAAGAAACAUUAACAGUCCUCUUUUUAAUUCUUCCUCUGUCCUCCUCUUGUCUCUUUUUUCUUUCCUCCUCCUCCCUCUGAUGCUGCAGUUGGAUCUGUUGUGUUUUGUCAUCUGGGUCGUCCGAAUAUCUCUGCUCCUCUUGUUUUCCUCUCUGUUUUUCUUUGUCCGCCUCCCUCUUUCUCCUCUUCCUCUUUCUCUCGUGACAAUCGACAGGCAGUGUUUUUUUGUCUGUGUGCCAUUUUUCAGGCGGACAGCCUCUGAUUCAUGUGCCCAUCAUCCCGUCGGCCUGAGGGCCAUCAGGCCGGCCACAAAAGAGGAAGGCAGUGGAGCGUCUCUUUCUCCUCUGUCUGCACUCCUUUUCAUCGCUCUCUCCCUGACUCGUGUCUCUUUCUUCUCCUGUCAUUUUGUCCUGUUUCUACUGGAGGUCUCUCUCUGUCAGUUUUUCUCCUGCCGUCGACUGCACACCAUCUAUUCAUCAGUCUCUCAGCUCCUCUCUCCCCUUUAUCUGUUUGUUUUUUAUGAUCUUUCUCUCCUUUGGUCUCUGUCUGAAUUCAACCUUCAGUCAUCACGUUCACCUUACAGAGCGGUGAAAAACGUGGGGCGGUCUAAUGGAUUAUUUUCACAUCUGAACAUGUUCGUGUUGUCAGGUCUGACUGAGGAGAACGACUGGAGCCAGGUUUGACUGACAUGAUGCUCUGAAACAUGAGGCUGUCUUUGUUCAGCUUGAAAGUUUGACCAAACCAACAUCCCAAACAGCAAC